AUGUAGUUGAGGUCAAUGAACGGGUCAUUGAUUGCUACAAUCUGGAUUUUGCCAGAGAUGAAGGCAGCUCUGGUGACCAGGCGGCCGAUACGGCCAAAUCUAGGAGAGGAACAGAAGAGCUCACUUCUGAACUUCAGU
Molecule: long non-coding RNA, 138 nt
Organism: Chelonia mydas (Green sea turtle)
Lineage: Eukaryota; Metazoa; Chordata; Testudines; Cheloniidae
Exons: 3
Source: RefSeq, a predicted model, not a curated record